GACGAACGCUGGCGGCGUGCCUAAUACAUGCAAGUCGUACGAAUUGAUGGAGGAGCUUGCUCCCCCUGACGUUAGUGGCGAACGGGUGAGUAACACGUGGGUAACCUGCCCUCAAGCGGGGGAUAACAUCCGGAAACGGGUGCUAAUACCGCAUAGUUUCCAUCCCCUCCUGGAGGCGGAAGGAAAGACGGCCUUUGUGCUGUCGCUUGAGGAUGGACCCGCGGCGCAUUAGUUAGUUGGUGGGGUAAUGGCCUACCAAGACGAUGAUGCGUAGCCGACCUGAGAGGGUGAUCGGCCACAUUGGGACUGAGACACGGCCCAA
Molecule: ribosomal RNA, 322 nt
Filed under: uncultured bacterium
Lineage: Bacteria
Description: bacterial SSU rRNA
Rfam family: Bacterial small subunit ribosomal RNA
Source: RNAcentral